CUAAACUCCGUAGCCAGCAGCCGCGGUAAUACGGAGGGUGCGAGCGUUAAUCGGAAUUACUGGGCGUAAAGCGCAUGCAGGCGGCCUGUUAAGUCAGAUGUGAAAGACCCGGGGCGUUAACCUCGGAAUUGCAUUUGAAACUGGCAGGCUAGAGUCUUGUAGAGGGGGGUAGGAAGUUUCAGGUGUAGCGGUGAAAUAGCGUAGAGAUCUGAAGGAAUACCAGUGGCGAAGGCGGCCCCCUCGGACAAAGACUGACGCUCAGAUGCGAAAGCGUGGGGAGCAAACAGGAUUAGAUACCCUGGUAG
This 305-nucleotide ribosomal RNA is filed under the name uncultured bacterium. Its description in RNAcentral is "bacterial SSU rRNA". It matches the Rfam family "Bacterial small subunit ribosomal RNA", at positions 496 to 793 of the family's 1533-position model. The record is from RNAcentral.